RNAcentral lists this small RNA (232 nucleotides) under Adlercreutzia caecimuris B7. Its description in RNAcentral is "Enterorhabdus caecimuris B7 RT-2 RNA". It matches the Rfam family "RT-2 RNA". From Rfam's summary of the family: Coriobacteriales (Actinobacteria), Clostridiales (Firmicutes). Downstream gene The record is from Rfam by way of RNAcentral. Lineage: Bacteria; Bacillati; Actinomycetota; Coriobacteriia; Eggerthellales; Eggerthellaceae.
AUCGGCCAGACCGAGUAGGCGGCGAACCGCCGCCGAAAGCCGUGCCUCAAAGGAAGGAAGCUGCAACCAUCGGCGCAUAUCGCCGUAAAUAUGCACCCCGCGAGGAGCGGCGAACGCUGCUUGCAUGGCGGCGCCCUCGGGCGCUCGGCGCCGUUUCAUGCCGCCACCUCAAAGCAACUGUCCGAGCGUCCAUUGAGAGUUGUGCGGGGUGCCCUAUGAAAUCAGAAGAACG